RNAcentral lists this non-coding RNA (21 nucleotides) under Arabidopsis thaliana (thale cress). Lineage: Eukaryota; Viridiplantae; Streptophyta; Magnoliopsida; Brassicales; Brassicaceae. The record is from RNAcentral.
UUGAGAAAGGCUAUGUCAACA